AAGACCUGUAAAACUUUAAUUACAUCUCUUGAAUGCAACUCAAACACUUUAAUUAAGCUAAAGCCUC
Molecule: transfer RNA, 67 nt
Filed under: Anolis neblininus
Lineage: Eukaryota; Metazoa; Chordata; Lepidosauria; Squamata; Anolidae
Description: tRNA-Ala
Source: RNAcentral